RNAcentral lists this small RNA (70 nucleotides) under Xanthomonas vasicola. RNAcentral describes it as "sX9 sRNA". It matches the Rfam family "Xanthomonas sRNA sX9". The record is from RNAcentral. Lineage: Bacteria; Pseudomonadati; Pseudomonadota; Gammaproteobacteria; Lysobacterales; Lysobacteraceae.
AUGUACCACUCGUACACUCCGGUUCCUGUGCGCCGUCCGCACCCACCUGACGACUGCUUUUGUAACGGCC